Molecule: ribosomal RNA, 827 nt
Filed under: uncultured bacterium
Lineage: Bacteria
Description: bacterial SSU rRNA
Rfam family: Bacterial small subunit ribosomal RNA
Source: RNAcentral
GACGGGUGAGUAACGCGUGGGUAACCUGCCCAUAAGUGGGGAAUAACAGUUGGAAACGACUGCUAAUACCGCAUAAGCUGAGCAAUCAGUAAAGGAGGCUAACGCUUCCGCUUAUGGAUGGGCCCGCGUCUGAUUAGCUAGUUGGUGGGGUAAUGGCCUACCAAGGCAACGAUCAGUAGCCGGCCUGAGAGGGUGGACGGCCACACUGGGACUGAGACACGGCCCAGACUCCUACGGGAGGCAGCAGUGGGGAAUAUUGCGCAAUGGGGGAAACCCUGACGCAGCGACGCCGCGUGAGCGAAGAAGGCCUUAGGGUCGUAAAGCUCUGUUUCAAGGGACGAAUAACCUUAGUAGUAACUGACUAAGGAAUGACGGUACCUUAAGAGAAAGCCCCGGCUAACUACGUGCCAGCAGCCGCGGUAAGACGUAGGGGGCGAGCGUUGUCCGGAAUUACUGGGCGUAAAGAGCACGUAGGCGGGAUUUUAAGUCAGGUGUGAAAGACCGUGGCUCAACCACGGGGUUGCACAUGAAACUGGAAUUCUUGAGGGCAGGAGAGGAAAGUGGAAUUCCUGGUGUAGCGGUGAAAUGCGUAGAAAUCAGGAGGAACACCGGUGGCGAAGGCGACUUUCUGGACUGACCCUGACGCUGAGGUGCGAAAGCGUGGGUAGCAAACAGGAUUAGAUACCCUGGUAGUCCACGCUGUAAACGAUGGAUGCUAGGUGUGGGAGGUAUCGACCCCUUCCGUGCCGCAGCAAACGCAAUAAGUAUCCCGCCUGGGGAGUACGGUCGCAAGGCUGAAACUCAAGGAAUGACGGGGGCCCGCACAA